RNAcentral lists this long non-coding RNA (1363 nucleotides) under Gallus gallus (chicken). RNAcentral describes it as "lncRNA (ENSGALG00010016259.1)". The record is from RNAcentral. Lineage: Eukaryota; Metazoa; Chordata; Aves; Galliformes; Phasianidae.
CUUGAUUUUAUUUCUCCUUUCCAUGCUGGCUUCAGGCCUGACAAGGGGAUGUGGAAGAAGGCAGAGGAGCUAUGUACCACAUAUUCUUAGCAUUGCUUUUCUUUCAGCCCUCACAUUAAUUCAUGUCUCUGUUGCUCUCAGCAGGUAGCUGAACUGGGGUCUCAAUGAGGCCUCCUCUGUACUGUCAGUAGAGACGCUGAGCCCCUGUGGAAGUACUUCAUGCAUUGUCAAGACCACAUAACAACAGUGUGCUGGGGCUGUCCAGGAUCUGGCUAGAAUGAAGCAUGCACUCUUCUGUUCCAGGUACCACAGCAACCUUUUCACAGGAAGAGAAAAGGUAUCUACCUUUACUUUUGCCCAAGGCAGAUGGAUCUGGGCCUUCUAGGAAGUAAGAAAUGCUCCCAGUUUCUGCAGCAGGACAUAGCUUUGGUUGGACUUACACCUUCCGAAGAAACCUCUCCAUGUGACUACGUGAGGAUCACAAGGAGACCUGUGCUUCACCAUAGCAGCUGCCUUCACCCUUGCCAGGACAAACUGAGGAAGAACAUACAGAAGAAUGUCUCUUCACUCUUCAGUCUCUUCACAAAGAUUACCAGUUGCCUUGUAGGUGUGGGACCACUAUACCCAUCUACUAAAAGUGCCUGAAAAUAUUUCCAGGCUCUGGCUGCUGAAGCAGGGAAUAGACUGUGUUCUUACUAUUAAAUUCCCACAUUCUCCAAAAUUAGGUGGCUGCAUGAAAAAGUGCCUGUUGGAAAUCAUCCCAGGAAUAUUUGAACUCCCAAGGUCAUUUGGGAAAUUUUUUGAAAGAGUGUUAGAUGGCAUGGUCCAAAAGUGUGCCAGGAAAUGCUUUGACAAUUUAGAGAAUGUCUAUAUUAGGAAAAGGCAAUAGGAACAUGCCUCUAGAAGAAAGUAUUUGAUGCUAAGGAUUGCAGCCACACUGACAUUCACAUGCUUUAUAUGUAUUUCAGAGCGUUUUACUGCUGUCUAACUCUAGUCUGCUCCUGUGUCCAUUAGCAAUCAAAGUGCAUUAGUUACCCUCUGAGACUGCAUCUCCGGGUUUAUUUUUGUCUGAAAGGAAUUCAUUUUGCACAUUCCAAACAUGAUGUGGGCCAAAGUGCAGGAAAUGGAAACUACUGGGAGAUUUGCUUCAAAAGUGCCUCCCGAUCUGAACUGAGAUGUUACCACACAUACACCUGCAGCUGUGUCCCUAAGUUUGAGAAUAUUCUCAAAUGCAGAUUGAUUUGCCUCUUCAUCCACUUCAACUGCACAUUAAAAAUAUUGUGUGAGGCUUUGGUAGGCAGAGUGGAAUUUGGAAUUGAAAUUUUAUUGCUAAAUUUGAGCAAAAGUCUCUACUGAUUUUUUG